Molecule: ribosomal RNA, 322 nt
Filed under: uncultured eukaryote
Lineage: Eukaryota
Description: partial 18S ribosomal RNA
Rfam family: Eukaryotic small subunit ribosomal RNA
Source: RNAcentral
CCCUUAGAUGUUCUGGGCCGCACGCGUGCUACACUGAGUAAUUCAAUGGGUAAGGGAACGCUAGAGCAUUACCUAAUCUUGAAAUUUGCUCGUGAUGGGGAUCGACGGUUGCAAUUUUCCGUCGUGAACGAGGAAUACCUUGUAGGCGCAUGUCAUCAUCAUGCGCCGAAUACGUCCCUGCCCUUUGUACACACCGCCCGUCGCUCCUACCGAUUGAGUGAUCCGGUGAGGCUCUGGGACCUGGACGGAAAGAGCGUUUCGCUUGUUCUGUUUGGGAAACGUGGUCGAACCUUAUCAUUUAGAGGAAGGAGAAGUCGUAACA